This is a long non-coding RNA of Lolium perenne, 1482 nucleotides long. RefSeq lists it as uncharacterized. NCBI's taxonomy places the organism in Eukaryota, Viridiplantae, Streptophyta, Magnoliopsida, Poales, Poaceae. The record is from RefSeq and is a predicted model, not a curated record.
GUCACACCUCCUGAACAGAAGGAGGAAACCCUCCCGCAAUCGCCGCUCCGCUCGCCCGUAGAUCUUCUGUCUGUCGCCGCUCACGCCGCAGUCGAGAACCACCUCUCUCGUCCUCUCCAGAUUCCAGCGCCGCCAUCCUCUCCCCUCCCACGUCACCACUCUCGAUCCAAGAGUGCUCCACCUCGAUCUCGACACAUCGGUAGUGUGUUCGUGAACUUAGACGGCGACUGAGCAUAUGGUGUUGUGGAUGUGAUUGGCCGCCGAUGGAGCGGGGUGCCCCAGCGGUGGUCAGAAGGCCUCCAUCGCGCGCCACGCACGGUGAGCAGGCCAGCGGGACUCGAUCUGUGGAGGAGGCCUAUUGGGCAACGGGAGCGGUAAGGAAUCGAUCUGUGGUUUUUUUUCCUUCAAGCUUCGGGCGUACGGGGAAGGGGAAAAUCUCUCAAAUUCGAUCAGAACCUAGCCGCUCUCACGCCGGGGUCUCCGUCGACAUACCACUUCCCCGACCACCUCGCGCCUCGCUGGGACUCACGCGAUUCGGCCGCGUCCUUGGUCCGUCGGUCCGUCUAGAGCUUAGCGCUGGGGCGGCGUCGCCCGGUACUGCCCCUCAUCCUGCUCUCCGAGGGCGUGGCCACCGGGUGGUGGAUGAGGUAGGGCGGCUGCGGUCUCCGGCCGUCCGACGAACUCUUUCCCUGUCUUCAAGUUUCACUGCUGUUUCGCCCCUACUAAGAUUUUUAUCAAGCUCCGCCACUGGCCUCCCGGAUACAACUCCACCAGACAUGCUGGCCAUCGUCAUGCGCGCCUCCCACAGGUAGAUGCUCCGGCAGAUGGUCCAUGAUGUUGCGGCCAGGGAGGGCAUUCUCCUUAGAGAGGAGAAGGUCCCUCACGAAGUUCUACCACUGUUAGAACAACCACCUCGAGGGCUCGUGCUGCCGAAGAAGCCGGUGGGUACCAUCCUCCAGUCAGCCCACGCCGUCGAGCACGAGUUCUAUGUUGAGCAAGCUUACGAAGCUGUAGCGAAAAGCCAAUUCAUGGCGAGGCAGGCGUCCGGACAUCGCCGCUUCGCCGGAGACGACCCUCCCCAAAUUGGACGGCUCCUAGCGGGAGUCAAUAGGUUGUCACCGCCGCUAUGCCGUCGACGGCGCUCCACGCCGUGGCCGAUUCCAGAGACAAAGACGAGGAGGGGGAGCCCGCCGACGUGGGCUGCGAUUUGAUUCGUCCAUAACAACUGCCAAUUUCCCCAAGGUCAGAUCCAAUAAUCCAUCCCAAAAUCUUUCAAAUCUCUCUGAUCAUCGAGUACUUAGUCCAUCUCCUAGGCGCUGCUAGGUAUUUUUUGCUCCUGAUCCACGUGAACACUUUUGUUGUGUAGGAGGUUUCUAUGUAUAGAUGAACUCCCUUUUUCUUUAACUGAUCUUAAAAAUAAAUGUCCUUUCACUUCAUGUUACCAACCAACAUAGGAGAUGAAUAUUAUAAAGUGUUGUAGCA